CCUACGGGAGGCAGCAGUAAGGAAUAUUGGUCAAUGGACGAAAGUCUGAACCAGCCAUGCCGCGUGAAGGAUUAAGGCCCUCUGGGUUGUAAACUUCUUUUAUCUGGGACGAAAAAAGGGUAUUCUUACUCACUUGACGGUACCAGAGGAAUAAGCACCGGCUAACUCCGUGCCAGCAGCCGCGGUAAUACGGAGGGUGCAAGCGUUAUCCGGAUUUACUGGGUUUAAAGGGUGCGUAGGUGGGUUUGUAAGUCAGUGGUGAAAUCUCCGAGCUUAACUCGGAAACUGCCAUUGAUACUAUAGAUCUUGAAUUAUCUGGAGGUAAGCGGAAUAUGUCAUGUAGCGGUGAAAUGCUUAGAUAUGACAUAGAACACCAAUUGCGAAGGCAGCUUACUACGGAUAUAUUGACACUGAGGCACGAAAGCGUGGGGAUCAAACAGGAUUAGAUACCCUGGUAGUCCACGCCCUAAACGAUGGAUACUCGACAUCAGCGAUACACUGUUGGUGUCUGNGNGAAGANAUAUAUCCACCNCGAGAGANGCAGAGUAGUAACGUACGAAGAAGUAGAGGCGUGAGAGAGCGACGACGACGACGAGGGAGGAGG
This 604-nucleotide ribosomal RNA is filed under the name uncultured bacterium. RNAcentral's name for it is "bacterial SSU rRNA". The stretch from base 1 to 531 matches the Rfam family "Bacterial small subunit ribosomal RNA", at positions 338 to 873 of the family's 1533-position model. The record is from RNAcentral.